GACGAACGCUGGCGGCGUGCUUAACACAUGCAAGUCGAACGGAAAGGCCCUGCUUUCAGGGUACUCGAGUGGCUAACGGGUGAGUAACACGUGGGUGAUCUGCCCUGCACUUCGGGAUAAGCCUGGGAUACUGGGUCUAAUACCGGCUAGGAGCCAUUGUUUGUCUGAUGGUUGGAAAGUUUUUUCGGUGUUGGCUGAGCUCGCGGCCUAUCAGCUUGUUGGUGGGGUAAUGGCCUACCAAGUCGGCGACGGGUGGCCGGCCUGAGAGGGUGGACGGCCACAAUGGGACUGAGAGACGGCCCAGAAGCCUACGGGAGGCAGCAGUGGGGAACAUUGCCCAAUGGGCGCACGCCUGAUGCAGCGACGCCGCGUGGGGGAUGACGGCCUUCGGGUUGUAAACUCCUUUCGCUAGGGACGAAGCUUUUUGUGACGGUACCUAGAUAAGAAGCAACGGCUAACUACGUG
RNAcentral lists this ribosomal RNA (465 nucleotides) under uncultured bacterium. RNAcentral's name for it is "partial 16S ribosomal RNA". It matches the Rfam family "Bacterial small subunit ribosomal RNA", at positions 28 to 507 of the family's 1533-position model. The record is from RNAcentral.